Molecule: long non-coding RNA, 7392 nt
Organism: Bombus terrestris (buff-tailed bumblebee)
Lineage: Eukaryota; Metazoa; Arthropoda; Insecta; Hymenoptera; Apidae
Exons: 3
Source: RefSeq, a predicted model, not a curated record
CGAAUCUGCCUUUGUUAGAGAUGGCAUUGUUCAACAGUCUUUCAUAUUCGAGACGCGGUAGCGUGAACGUGCUACGGAAUACUUACCUACUUGAACGUUACAAUUUUUGUGUUUAGCAAGUGUUUUAGCGAUUGGUAAGAAGUGCUAGAUGCUGGAUAAAAUAUAAAAUCUAAUUAUUCGAAAGUCGACUUGUAAAUUAUCUAUAAAAAGGAUUUAUUCAGAGAUGGACCAUACGGCAACCAGAUAGAUUAUUCCACAUGUGGAAAACCCUCCCCUGAUGCACUUCGUGAUACACAAAGAAGCUUCUUCCAGUAACACAAUUCCUCACAAAUUCUUUUCCAUGCUGUUAUGGUAAGUUUUUACCCUAUUUCUUUUUGAUUAUUUACUAUUGCUGUAUUAUUUGUUAUAAUGUCCGCAUUUUAAUCGUAAAAUGCAGUUUCAUUUUUAAAAAAGUGAUACAGUAUAUUCAUUCGUUACCUUUUCUAUUUAUUAAUCAAAAAUUAUGAAUGAAAAAACACAAAUCUCAGUUCUCAGAUUCUGUUGCAAGUCAUUACAAUUAGAUAUGGACAUGAUUUGAAUAAUGUACCGGGUCUGAUAUCUACAAAAUCGCCUAAAACUUUCAAUUUUUAUAUGUAUUUUAUAUGUAGAUAUUUUAUUAUACACAGAAAUUUAUUAUACAUAGAAACCUAACCUCAAUAUUUAACCAAUGGCGAAACAGAAAGCGGCAGAAUAUCUCACGUGAGAUUGAUGUUAUCAGAAAAAGUUUUAACAAAAGUUGUUUAGUUCGGAUGAAGACAUUACAUACGGAGCAAAUUACUUUUUUGUAGAUCCAGUAGUAGGGUUUCAUUUCAACUUCAUUUUUACAAAUGGAACCAUAUAUUUUUUUAUACAUUCAUCGAUCAAUCUUUGUAUUUCUUAUGAAAAAAUUAAAAAGAUCUAGUUCUUAGGUCUUAGUUUACCAGAUAUCUUAACUUGAAUUCAUCGUAUGAAAGCCAGGUAAGGACGCGAAACGGCACUCUUGUGUUUACGUUGUACCUGUUUUUCGUUUAUUUCUGCGUAAACACAAUACUGCUUCGUGUCAUGUGUUUAUCUUUCAUACGACAAUUUAAACGGAAGAUAUAAUUUAAAUUAACAAUUUUUCGACAUAAAUAGGUUAAUAUUUUUUUAUAUGAUAUGAAACGUUACGUUAUCGGUUACACUACUGUUGUUUACAAAGCACGAGUUUCGGCUGAUUGGUAGGUUAAAAAAAAAAAACAAUAACAAGAAAGAACCGAUUCGGAAGGACGAACCUUUCGUUUACCUCCGAAUCUUUCAUCAAACAGGUCAUAUUGUAGGAUGUUAACAUACUUUCCGCGGUGAACGUAUGUAAUAUUGUUUAUGAAUAUUGUUUUGUUAUAGUUAUUAACUAUACUUAUUGUUAUAUAUAUUUAUAUUGUACUAUAAGAAUGUAGCCUAAAAUCCGCCUGUUUUAAACCCCCUCCUUUAAUAUGUAAUAAUGUAAAUAAUUAUGUAAUUAGAUACUUGUAGACAUGAACGCACAAAAGAUAUAUGGAUGCUAACAUUAUUUCGUUUAACGGAAUCAUCGAACAACACAAACAAUUCCUUUUCACAUUAUUUUCCGAGAUAAGAAGGCGCAGUUCCGUUUUUAACGGAAACUACGAGGGUUGUCUGACCCAUCUCAUUAUUUUCCAUUUAUAAUUUCUAUAAAAAAACUAAAUCGUCACCGCGAUGUGUGUAUUAUCGUCUGCUUAUACUUUAACUCGUACCUCCCGUCCCGACAUCUGCACGCUGCUUGAACGGAGAGCACAUCAAAAUCAGAUUCGCACUUAAUGUUUUAAAUACCAUUGUAUUACCGUUAUCGAUAUGAUUCACAUAUUUCACACAUCAUAAUUUUUUUGAGAGCAAAAAUAUUUCAGUCAUAGCGUCUACCCCCAAUUUUUCUGCACUUUUCUCUUGUGGUUGACAGAACAUUCAUAAGCAUCUGUUUCCUUCCAUUUUUUAUGUUCUGGAGUUUCUUCCCUUUCCUUCCAAUACUAAAUUGAGUGUCAGGAAGCAUAUUUUACUUUGUGAAGGGAUGCCUUGUUCAGUGAAGUAUGUUAUAUUAUAGAACUUAUACAGGUCUUGUAUCUUUACAAUAUCACUUUUUUAAUUUCUGAUAUAGAUGUCCACAGCUCAUAGUACUUUCUGAAACACAGGAUGCACCUAACUCGCUUUUCUUUCCCCGCGUUAUUUGAAAACUUAUUAUCACAUAUAAAACAGCUCACAGGUUUGAUAAUUUCGAUCGAUGACUCUAUGUCGGAUUUCUUUCUGAUAAACACGUUCCUGAUUUCGUUCUUUCGUAUCUUUCUCGAGGUAUGAAAUUAGGCAGGAAACCAUUUUCUGAGCGUGAGAGUUCAAGAAGCGAGAGAACAGGAUUGCCAGUUUUGAAUAUGAAAAUAGAAGCAAUGUGCAUCAAAACUAAAGCUUAGAAUUGAGGUGUGAGUGUUGUCCGGAUAGUUGUAACUGCUGGCUGUAGAUGUCGCUAAUGGGAUACUGCUGCAUUUUUGGCCAAAUUAAGUCUUGUGCAAGAAAAAUCGGACUACGGACUCCGGGAUUUGAACCUGGAUCCCGAACGUUUGUAAUCUCUGCGCUGCCGUUGUCCGGUCCUAGUUGGUGUCGAGUGCCGCUACAGAAUUAUAUACUUUAGUUGAAAUACGAUCUCAAAUGUUAGGAAAUAACGUAGUAUACCACUAGCGAAAAAAUACAGCGCUACAGAAACCUCUCGAAACGCAUUUCUUUUCGUUUGCUGUUACUUUUCUAGCGAUAUAUCUAUUUCAAAUUCCGAUUGCCGCUCAUAGAUUGGUGCACUUAACAGGAGUACAAGUCCCCCUUGAUACCAUUCAAUUUCUAUAUGAAACAUUUUGCCCUAUUUUUAUACGUAUAGAAAUAAUAGCGCAUAUACACUUAAAAUGGACAUAUUGUAUACGUUAUGACUUUAUGACUUAUGACUGUUUAAUGUAAUUAUAACGGUAUUUACAUGUAGAUUCUAUCUCAAAAAACAUGAAAUUUAAGAAAAAAUAUUAAAUUGAAGUUAAGUUUCGCUUGCGAUGAACCAAGUAUCUAACUGAGGUUGGUGAUGCGUGUGAUUUCGAUACCCAAUCUUGCAGAGAUUCUUCGUAGCGAAUCUGUUGACCAGCUAAACCCGUUUAACCUUUCUUACUACCCGUUUCACACCUCAGAAGUUAGGAAAAAAUUAAUACUGGCAAAUAAGAAGGAAAUCGUGGCGCUCGUGAGAUUUUCGUUUAAAGUAUUUUUACUUUGCGUUGGCCCUAACUUUUCUAUAGUCUAAAUCGAGCGUACGAUCUCUAAAUAAAUCGGGAAGGAUAUACGUUGCGCUGACAUAACUCCUUCUCUCUUAAAUGUGAUAUCGUUCGUUGGGAUGCUUUCACAAUCGUAGAUCGAACGCGUGGUAAGAAAAUGUUGAAGCGAACUAUUGCACUGUAGCCUGCGUGUUUCUAUGUGUAUAUGUAGGACUUAUCGUUGCAUCUUUUGUGUGUGUAAAUUUUCCUUGGCUACGGUCCAUUCCUUGAAGAAAAUGGUCAGCUGCUAUCGGCUGUAAUGUUUAGCUUGGACAAUUGAUGUGUCAAUUCUUUAUUUUCACGACAGACUGUGCAGGAUCACUCACGGAAUGACUCAAUUACGAUACAGCUUGAUUCCGUUCUUGCUUGUUCUUCCAGAACGUUUUUAUCCUAACAGUUUCAAUCUUCAUUUUAUUAGUCUUGAAUUGGAAUACCAUCCACUCUGACCGUCUCUGAAUGAGACAAUUUAGCAAUUUUUUAGCCUUUAUUCCCGCAGUGACAAAGAGUAGACUACGACGAUGUUGCCCACAUGACACGAUAUACUUAUAAUUUGAAAACUGUGGUCUAAUACGGUUUGAAAAUUGAACAAAUCACCGUGUAACACGUUAUUUGCAUAACAUCCUUUCACUCCAUCGAGAAUGGUUUUCAAUCAUUGGAGAAAUUGAAUAAGAAAAUAACGAAAGGCAGACCAUUGAAUUAUAAAGCAGUCGACAGUCAUAACAGUUUGUCCCUUCAGACAUAUGUACGGCAUCGUAUUCCACCGUAUAGCACCGUAUAUCACCGUAUUCUAGGAGCUUCAAUUUUUGCCUAACCAGUUUUGAAAUGGGAACAGAAAGCACUAGUUUAAGUGCGCAGCUAAUAAUGUUGGCGUGAACUUCUCGGUAACAAGUGAACGUAUAGAAGCACGUAUAGAAGAACGUCGGCAGAGAUUUUAAAUUUCGUUCAGUCACAUUUGGACACAAUAUGCCGCGAAGUGAAAUGAAGUUAUUAAUUCGCGAUAUUCGGAAGUGGAGAGAAACAGUUUUUUUUUUAAAUAUCCGGCAAGAGACGUGGUGUGUAGCUGCAGAAAGUUGGAGAUGUAGAAGCAGGCUACUUAUAGGGUUGCACUCUUGGGGUACCGGGGCUUAAUCCGCUUGGACUGAAAAAUGUCUCAUACUCCAGUCGCAUGCUGGAAAAGAAAAUCUGUUACGUGUACGGUGGAAAUAGAAAACAAACAUGAUGGAAAUAGACAAUAGAUGAUAAAUUGAUAAUUUAUUAUCGCGAAAUUUGGAGGUCCAACACUCCUCAUCUUUGAGUGAUUUAGGUGAAUGCUACACAGUAUUUUAAAUUGUGUAUUACUUAUGUGCAAUGUAAUAUGUGAACUUCAAGCUUUGUGGAAAUAUAACUUUUCUCGUUAUUGAAAAGUGUGCAAAAUUCAAUCCCCAAAUACUUAUCAGCUGGAUAUCCUUUUAGGGCAAAUAAAACGGUUUUUUAUUUGAUCUUGAUUUCUACAAUAUUUGCACCUUGCACAGCAACUGACAGCAACUCAGUUCUAUUCCUUCUAUUUGUUCUCUACUCAAGAGUUGCAUUAUUAUGUGUGGCUUCAAUAGAUUUUACAAUUUCAAACUAUUCAGAAAUGACUCCAUAAACGAAUAAUACAUAAGAAAGUUCGUCAAUUUUGUUCCCUUUGAAGUCUCACGUGGAUCACUGUAAAGCUUGUAUUUUAAAUUGUGUAUUACAUAUGUACAAUUUAAUAUGUGAAGUUGAGGCUUUGUGGAAACAUAACUUUUCUCGUUAUUGAAAAGUGUGCAAAAUUCAAUCCCCAAAUAUUUAUCAGCUGGAUAUCAUUUUAGGGCAAAUGAAACGGUGUUUUAUUAGACCUUGAUUUCUACAAUUUUUGCACCUUGCACAGCAACUGACAGCAACUCAGUUCUAUUCCUUCUAUUUGUUCUCUACUCAAGAGUUGCAUUAUUAUGUGUGGCUUCAAUAGAUUUUACAAUUUCAAACUAUUCGGAAAUGACUCCAUAAACGAAUAAUACAUAAGAAAGUUCGUCAAUUUUGUUCCCUUUGAAGUCUCACGUGGAUCACUGUAAAGCUUGUAUUUUAAAUUGUGUAUUACAUAUGUACAAUUUAAUAUGUGAAGUUGAGGCUUUGUGGAAACAUAACUUUUCUCGUUAUUGAAAAGUGUGCAAAAUUCAAUCCCCAAAUAUUUAUCAGCUGGAUAUCAUUUUAGGGCAAAUGAAACGGUGUUUUAUUAGACCUUGAUUUCUACAAUUUUUGCACCUUGCACAGCAACUGACAGCAACUCAGUUCUAUUCCUUCUAUUUGUUCUCUACUCAAGAGUUGCAUUAUUAUGUGUGGCUUCAAUAGAUUUUACAAUUUCAAACUAUUCAGAAAUGACUCCAUAAACGAAUAAUACAUAAGAAAGUUCGUCAAUUUUGUUCCCUUUGAAGUCUCACGUGGAUCACUGUAAAGCUUGUAUUUUAAAUUGUGUAUUACAUAUGUACAAUUUAAUAUGUGAAGUUGAGGCUUUGUGGAAACAUAACUUUUCUCGUUAUUGAAAAGUGUGCAAAAUUCAAUCCCCAAAUAUUUAUCAGCUGGAUAUCAUUUUAGGGCAAAUGAAACGGUGUUUUAUUAGACCUUGAUUUCUACAAUUUUUGCACCUUGCACAGCAACUGACAGCAACUCAGUUCUAUUCCUUCUAUUUGUUCUCUACUCAAGAGUUGCAUUAUUAUGUGUGGCUUCAAUAGAUUUUACAAUUUCAAACUAUUCAGAAAUGACUCCAUAAACGAAUAAUACAUAAGAAAGUUCGUCAAUUUUGUUCCCUUUGAAGUCUCACGUGGAUCACUGUAAAGCUUGUAUUUUAAAUUGUGUAUUACAUAUGUACAAUUUAAUAUGUGAAGUUGAGGCUUUGUGGAAACAUAACUUUUCUCGUUAUUGAAAAGUGUGCAAAAUUCAAUCCCCAAAUAUUUAUCAGCUGGAUAUCAUUUUAGGGCAAAUGAAACGGUGUUUUAUUAGACCUUGAUUUCUACAAUUUUUGCACCUUGCACAGCAACUGACAGCAACUCAGUUCUAUUCCUUCUAUUUGUUCUCUACUCAAGAGUUGCAUUAUUAUGUGUGGCUUCAAUAGAUUUUACAAUUUCAAACUAUUCAGAAAUGACUCCAUAAACGAAUAAUACAUAAGAAAGUUCGUCAAUUUUGUUCCCUUUGAAGUCUCACGUGGAUCACUGUAAAGCUUGUAUUUUAAAUUGUGUAUUACAUAUGUACAAUUUAAUAUGUGAAGUUGAGGCUUUGUGGAAACAUAACUUUUCUCGUUAUUGAAAAGUGUGCAAAAUUCAAUCCCCAAAUAUUUAUCAGCUGGAUAUCAUUUUAGGGCAAAUGAAACGGUGUUUUAUUAGACCUUGAUUUCUACAAUUUUUGCACCUUGCACAGCAACUGACAGCAACUCAGUUCUAUUCCUUCUAUUUGUUCUCUACUCAAGAGUUGCAUUAUUAUGUGUGGCUUCAAUAGAUUUUACAAUUUCAAACUAUUCAGAAAUGACUCCAUAAACGAAUAAUACAUAAGAAAGUUCGUCAAUUUUGUUCCCUUUGAAGUCUCACGUGGAUCACUGUAAAGCUUGUACUUUAAAUUGUGUAUUACAUAUGUACAAUUUAAUAUGUGAAGUUGAGGCUUUGUGGAAACAUAACUUUUCUCGUUAUUGAAAAGUGUGCAAAAUUCAAUCCCCAAAUAUUUAUCAGCUGGAUAUCCUUUUAGGGCAAAUGAAACGGUGUUUUAUUAGAUCUUGAUUUCUACAAUAUUUGCACCUUGCACAGCAACUGACAGCAACUCAGUUCUAUUCCUUCUAUUUGUUCUCUACUCAAGAGUUGCAUUAUUAUGUGUGGCUUCAAUAGAUUUUACAAUUUCAAACUAUUCAGAAAUGACUCCAUAAACGAAUAAUACAUAAGAAAGUUCGUCAAUUUUGUUCCCUUUGAAGUCUCACGUGGAUCACUGUAAAGCUUGUAUUUUAAAUUGUGUAUUACAUAUGUACAAUUUAAUAUGUGAAGUUGAGGCUUUGUGGAAACAUAACUUUUCUCGU